Molecule: long non-coding RNA, 6067 nt
Filed under: Brassica napus (rape)
Lineage: Eukaryota; Viridiplantae; Streptophyta; Magnoliopsida; Brassicales; Brassicaceae
Description: long non-coding RNA (BNAP_LNC005518)
Source: RNAcentral
CACUGGAACACGAAGCUGAAGAAGAGGCUGGUGAAAAUGGGGAUAGAUCCUGUGACUCACAAACCUGUUUCUCAGGUCCUUACGGAAUUCAGAAACAUUAGUGGCCAUGGAAACUCAUCCGAACCUUUUGUCAGAAACUUCAAAACAGAACCAUCUAACAACUCUAUACUCACACAAUCCAACUCAGCUUGGGAAAUGAUGAGGAACACAACAAGCCAUGAGAGCUAUCACAAUUCUCCUAUGAUCUUUACUCAUCCCACUGCAUCUGAAUUCCAUUUCUCUAACCAUUCAAACUUUCCACUCAAUGGAGCCACGUCUUCAUGUUCUUCCUCGUCUUCUUCUGCUAGUAUCACGCAGCCAAACCAAGGGGCUCAAGCACCGGUUACUACAUUCUGCUGGAGUGAUUACCUUCUCUCGGAUCCGGUUUUACCUCUUAGCUCUCAGACACAAGUAGUGGGAUCCUCAGCUACUAGCAACCUCACUUUCGCGCAGAACGAAAACUUCAACGGCCAAGGAGAAUGCAGCUCUCAGAAGAUUGCUUCCAAGGCCUCUGGAACAUGUCACUCCGCGAGCUCAUUUGUGGAUGAAAUAUUGGAUAAGGACCAAGAAAUGCUGUCACAGUUUCCCCAACUCUUGAAUGAUUUCGACUAUUAGAUCCUUCCUUAUGCUAUUGUUGUUGUUGUUACUGCUUCUCUUGUAGCUUAAAUUCGAUGUUUUAUGAUGUUUCAAGAACUACUUUCAUCUAGUUUUUCAAUAAGUUAUAUUAUCUCUUCUCUUUAUCCAAGUUUCUUGGGAUUCACUUAUGUAACAGUCUCUAAACAUACAGAGCUCAAAUAAGUUUACCUCUUUUAUAGAGAAAUAGACCCUCUGGCUAAGGAAGAGGGUCUUAGUUUAUUCCUAUCCUUCGUGCUAAGCUCUUUUAACAGUCUCGCGAGCUUCAAAGUCGAAACCUUUAGAGCUAUGGCGGUCGUGUUAUCUUCUAGCAUAGUCUCUCCACUUGGAAUCAACAUCGAUAUGAGUAAGAAUCUGGGUGUAAAGUACUCUUCUUUCCCCAAAGUUCACCUCUUUGGUAAAUUAUAAAGACGAGUCAUAAUUCGAGCAUCAGAUAGAUUUAAUUAAAAUAUUGAAAUUAUCCGAAGGUAGCAACAACGAUCCAUCCAUAGAAUCCCACAUUAAAAACAAAAAAUAAAAAGCUGUUUAGAUCUUAAAAGAUCAGAUCCUCAAUCAAAGAGACUCAUCAUGCCUUCACCAUCAUCCGACUCCUCUUUCUCUUCCUCAACCUUCUUAGAUUCCGCCGCUGGCUCAGCCGCGGAAGGAGCGUCGCCUCCUGCUCCAGCCACCAUAGCAACAGCUGCACCACCGGAAGAUAGAGCCCCCAUCUUCUCCCUCCCAGCCGCGAUCAGCUCCGUCACGUCGUGAUCCUUCACCAGAGAAAAGAACAGAUCCGUCUUCGUCUCGUCGAACUCAGCUCCAACGGAAUCGAAGAUGUUUUUCAGAUCACCUUUGGUUGGGUUCUCGUUUCCGGCGAGUUUCGCGAGGAGAAAAGCAGCGAUAACCUUCAUCGUUCCUCUUCUUCUUCUUCUUCUCUGCACGAACGGUGAAAAACAAAGCGUGUUACUGCUAGGGCAAAGCUGUGUAUUUAUAAGAAGUGUCUUCCCCAUAAUGAGGAGGGUUAGGGUUUUUCGGACGUACGUUACACGAAAGAAAGCCGUUAAUGGGCCCAUGCUGUUAAUGAACUUUAAUGUAAGCCCACUAAUAUUGGAACCAACUUACAAAACUUUUCUUUUCCGGUAAAGUAAUUUCACUGAAAUUAAAACGAGUUUACAACAUCAUUACAUAAACUCCGAAAAUCAAUUAUUACAUAAGCAACAUAUAUUACAAAACGAUAAAAACCAAAAAAAAAAAGAAUUUAACAAUGAUUUCUUUAAAAUUUUUAUUCGCUAAUGAAUUAUUUAGUCAUUUUUGAUGAUCGAAAUAUUGUAAAAGUGAAUUUUUCUUUUUAGAAACUUCAAUUUCACAGAACCCAUUUACAUUUCGUCAACAGUUUGAUGCCAAUUAGUCUUUACCAAUGUCAUCCAAAAUAAUAACUACUUCCAUCGUUUGUAUUCGAUCAUUUUACAAAGAUAGAUUUUCUAUUAUUUUCACAUUUAUUAAAAAAACUCAUUAAAUCACUAUAAUGAAUGUUGUUGUUUGUAAUUUUCAAAUUUUAAUAACUUUUAACCAAUAAUAAUUUAAUAAACUUAAUUAAUUUUAUUGAAGUUUACAAAUUUUUUUUAUAGAAAAUAGAACAUUUAUCUUUGUGAAACAAUUUUUUUUCUAAAACAUGUAUCUUAGUGAAACGGAUGGAAUAUCAUUUUUUCGUAUUACACAAAAAUUGUCACUUCAAAAUUUCAAUCAAAAUUAUAUUACUUACAACUAAAAAUUAAUUGUAAAUUGCAUUAAUUUUAUAAAUAAUUUUAUUUAUCUCAAAUAUUAUUGUUCAAAAUAUGUGUAAUUAAUAACAACUUAAACACAUUCUAAUAAUUUUCUUAAUCUAUGUAAAAAAUAUCAAACUUACACUUAGUAAUUAAUAAUCUCCAGAUCUCAAAUAAACAUUAACCCAUCAUAAAUUUGAUAUUUGACAACUUACAAAACUUUAUUUUAUUUAUGGUCAACAAUUUCUUAAAAUUAAGUGCUGUCUCGUAAGAAAGAGUUAACGAAAAUCUAGUCAAAGGGGAAUUAAAAAGGAAGGCAGGAAAUUACAGUUGGCGCUCCCUCACUCGCUUACCGUCAUUAAAUACUUUUAAAAAGGGGAUGAAAUUGUAAGAUCUCAAAACUACAGGGACAAAUUAAGAAGAAGAAUAUAGUUGAGGGGGUAAGAAUUGAGAAGAAUACAAAUUUGUUACUAAACGUCUGGUCUUCGCCUCCAAAAAGAAAAGUCUUCUCUUUUCUCAGCAGGGAAGGGAAAAAAUGGAUUCUCGAAAUUUUCUCGCGUUUUCGCUAAGUCUUAUCCUGAUUUUCCCUCCAAUUUCGUCUGCUUCCAUCAGAUUCAUCCCUCGAUGGAGUAGUAGUAGUAAUAGGUAAGGUUGUCUCUCUCUCUCUCUAACGAUGAAUGAUGUUCUUUCGCAUUGGUUUGACUGAUAAAUAUUUGUUUUUUUUUUCUUUCUUUUAAUUGGUUGGGUGGGCAGAGAAGGGGCAGUGAUUAAGCAGAAGACGAGUGCUUCGUCUCUAGUUAUUGAUCCAACUCGUGUCACUCAGCUCUCUUGGACUCCUAGGUUUCGUUUGUUGCUUUUGCUUUAAAAAGUCUGAAUUUUUAUUGUUUUGAUUACAAAAGUAUGUGAUGGUUUCUGCAGGGUGUUUUUGUACAAGGGACUUUUAACAGAUGAGGAAUGUGAUCAUUUCAUCAACUUGGUACUAUCAAUCAAAUCAUCUUCUUGAUUAUUUUUGUUUGUUUGUUUGAGGACUUAGUGAUGAUCAUGGAACGUUAUGAGACUUUGUGUUUUAGGCGAAAGGGAAGCUUGAGAAGUCAAUGGUUGCGGAUAAUGAUUCAGGUAAGAGCGUGGAGAGUGAAGUGCGCACAAGCUCUGGAAUGUUUCUUUCCAAAAGACAGGUGAGAGCUUCAGUUUCUAUUACUCAUAACAUGUGUGAAUCAGUAAGGAAAACAUGUUGGCUCUUGUAAAGGUUUUGAAUGAUCUGUUGUGGUUUUAAAUCUGGUUCCGUUUGUAUGUUUUGUUUUGUGCAAUCAGUUGAAUUUUAUUAUCAUGUGUUUUCUGAGGUCUAAUCUUGCUUUUGUUUCUAUUUGACUAGCUUAACUUCACCAAAUAAACAGAUUAGUUCUCUGUUAUUAAUACCACCAAGUAACACUAUCUAGGAUGGUCUUCUUCUGUGGUUAGAAAAAGUAGCUUGAAUGCUAAUCUGGUUAUUCUAAAGGUUUUCUGUGAUUCACUGAUUGUUUGACCCUUGAGCUUGAAAGCAUGAAUGGUAAAGAUUCUGUGUCGGUGCAGGAUGAUAUAGUAGCUAAUGUCGAGGCUAAACUUGCUGCAUGGACUUUUCUUCCCGAGGGUAUUGUUUGAGGCAUAUGUAUACUUUUCUUACUUUAUCUUUAGUAGCAGAAAAAACACUCAUCUCUUCUUUUUUUUUUUACCUGUGUUGUCUAUCAGAAAAUGGAGAAUCAAUGCAAAUACUGCACUACGAGAACGGUCAAAAAUAUGAACCGCAUUUUGACUUCUUUCACGACCAAGUAAACCAACAGCUUGGUGGUCAUCGGAUCGCCACCGUAUUGAUGUACUUGUCCAACGUCAAAAAAGGUGGAGAAACAGUGUUUCCCAUGUGGAAGGUAAUAACGACAUAUGUAUCACAUGAUUUAGAUUUCAUUUCUUGAGUGGCCUCAUUUGAACACUGUUCAUUCAUUCUUAAAGGGAGCAACAGCUCAACCCAAAGACGAUAGCUGGACCCAAUGUGCCAAACAAGGUUAUGCAGGUAGAGAAACACAUACAUGUGUACUUUAUGUAUUCUUCAACAUGCGUUUGCUUUAAGUAUGAUUCUAUCUUUCCAAAUGGUAUAUUGCACAAUCUGAGAGUGUGUGUCUUUGCAGUGAAACCGAUGAAAGGGGACGCAUUGCUAUUCUUUAACCUUCAUCCGAAUGCAACAACAGAUCCGAGCAGCUUACAUGGAAGCUGUCCAGUGGUUGAGGGAGAGAAAUGGUCAGCUACCAGAUGGAUUCAUGUGAAGUCGUUCGAAAGACCGGUGUCCAGGACAACUGGGUGUGUGGACGAGAACGAGAGCUGCGAGAAAUGGGCAAAGGCAGGGGAAUGUAAGAAGAAUCCAGUCUACAUGGUGGGUUCAGAAACAGACCAGGGAUAUUGCAGAAAGAGCUGCAAAGCUUGCUCAUCUUAAGAACCAAGUAACAAUCAAAGCUCUUAUUAAAAAAGGAUUGAAAAUUUUUGUGUGUAGAGAAAAAACCUUUGGUCUAUAUAAGCAAAAAUGUUUGAACACAUACUAAAAAGAAUAAUAAUAAGCUUCUCUGGUUUCAUGUUUAGUUUAUUUGUAGCAUCAACCUCAAGCAAGGAAUACAUGAUAACUGAUUAUGUAUUAAUAAUAUACGUGAUGUAGUGUACAUGAGAUGAUAGUUGUCUAAACUACGUCAUGCACAUAGAGACUCUUAUAUUUCUAAUGAAGUGUAACAAUCAUGCAAUUACCGUUAACUAGGAGCCUUCAAGCAUGAGAUCCUCACCUUUUAUUUCUCUCUCUCUAGACAAGUCUCAGAGCUUUUGCAUUGCAUCAUUCUAUUUCCAUAAAGCCUUUCUUGUGGUACUUCCACACAGCAUCUUCUCCUUCUCUCCUGUCUCUGAAUAACCCACAAAAAAUGGGAAGGCCUCCAUGUUGUGACAAAUCAAAUGUCAAGAAAGGUCUAUGGACUGCAGAAGAAGACGCUAAGAUCCUCGCUUAUGUUGCAAUCCAUGGUGUAGGAAACUGGAGUUUGAUCCCCAAGAAAGCAGGUCUUGUUCAUAAGCUUCUUCUUUCAUUUUAAGAACUCUUCAAUGUACAAGUCUGAGUUUAUUUAUUUUUAUUUUGGGUGCAGGUCUGAAUCGAUGUGGAAAGAGCUGUAGAUUGAGAUGGACUAAUUACUUAAGACCUGACCUUAAACAUGACAGCUUCUCUCCCCAAGAAGAAGAGCUUAUCAUUCAGUGUCACAGAAUCAUUGGCAGCAGGUUACCUAAUUGCUAACUAACUUUUUAACAAUGACAAAAAAUCUAUCAAACUCUACUAAUAAUAAUAAUCUCUGAUGCUCUCAGGUGGUCUUCGAUUGCGCGAAAGCUUCCAGGAAGAACAGACAACGAUGUGAAAAACCACUGGAACACGAAGCUGAAGAAGAGGCUGGUGAAAAUGGGGAUAGAUCCUGUGACUCACAAACCUGUUUCUCAGGUCCUUACGGAAUUCAGAAACAUUAGUGGCCAUGGAAACUCAUCCGAACCUUUUGUCAGAAACUUCAAAACAGAACCAUCUAACAACUCUAUACUCACACAAUCCAACUCAGCUUGGGAAAUGAUGAGGAACACAACAAGCCAUGAGAGCUAUCACAAUUCUC